AAUUAAACAAUUAAAACCUUAAGGAGGGGGAAACGGUUGGAAACGACCGCCCUUUACCCCAUAUGCCGAGAGGUGAAAUCUAAUUGGCCUGAGGAUGAGCUCGCGUCCGAUUAGCUAGUUGGUGUAUUAAAUAUCAACAAAGGCGACGAUCGGUAGCUGGUCUGAGAGGAUGAUCAGCCACACUGGGACUGAGACACGGCCCAAACUCCUACGGGAGGCAGGAGUGGGGAAUUUUCCGCAAUGGGCGAAAGCCUGACGGAGCAUGACCGCGUGAGGGAAGAAGGUCUGUGGAAUCUUAACCACUUUUGAUUGGGAAGAAUACUGACGGUACCAAUCGAAUCAGCCUCGGCUAACUCCUUGCCAGCAGCCG
RNAcentral lists this ribosomal RNA (370 nucleotides) under uncultured Microcystis sp. Its description in RNAcentral is "bacterial SSU rRNA". It matches the Rfam family "Bacterial small subunit ribosomal RNA", at positions 115 to 517 of the family's 1533-position model. The record is from RNAcentral. Lineage: Bacteria; Bacillati; Cyanobacteriota; Cyanophyceae; Chroococcales; Microcystaceae.